This 80-nucleotide transfer RNA is filed under the name Echinostoma caproni. It matches the Rfam family "tRNA". Rfam says of the family: Transfer RNA (tRNA) molecules are approximately 80 nucleotides in length. Lineage: Eukaryota; Metazoa; Platyhelminthes; Trematoda; Plagiorchiida; Echinostomatidae. The record is from Rfam by way of RNAcentral.
GGCUCCGUAGCUCAGCUGGUAGAGCGUGUGUACAAAGCGUGGGCGGUGUCCAUGCGUGGGUUCGAAUCCCACCGAGGCUA